This 251-nucleotide ribosomal RNA is filed under the name uncultured Corynebacterium sp. Its description in RNAcentral is "partial 16S ribosomal RNA". It matches the Rfam family "Bacterial small subunit ribosomal RNA", at positions 85 to 339 of the family's 1533-position model. The record is from RNAcentral. Lineage: Bacteria; Bacillati; Actinomycetota; Actinomycetes; Mycobacteriales; Corynebacteriaceae.
GGGUACUCGAGUGGCGAACGGGUGAGUAACACGUGGGUGAUCUGCCCUGCACUUCGGGAUAAGCUUGGGAAACUGGGUCUAAUACCGGAUAGGACCGCACUUUAGUGUGUGUGGUGGAAAGUUUUUUCGGUGUAGGAUGAGCUCGCGGCCUAUCAGCUUGUUGGUGGGGUAAUGGCCUACCAAGGCGGCGACGGGUAGCCGGCCUGAGAGGGUGUACGGCCACAUUGGGACUGAGAUACGGCCCAGACUCC